This 468-nucleotide ribosomal RNA is filed under the name uncultured bacterium. RNAcentral describes it as "partial 16S ribosomal RNA". It matches the Rfam family "Bacterial small subunit ribosomal RNA", at positions 28 to 507 of the family's 1533-position model. The record is from RNAcentral.
GACGAACGCUGGCGGCGUGCUUAACACAUGCAAGUCGAACGGAAAGGCCCUGCUUUUGUGGGGUGCUCGAGUGGCGAACGGGUGAGUAACACGUGAGUAACCUGCCCUUGACUUUGGGAUAACUUCAGGAAACUGGGGCUAAUACCGGAUAGGAGCUCCUGCUGCAUGGUGGGGGUUGGAAAGUUUCGGCGGUUGGGGAUGGACUCGCGGCUUAUCAGCUUGUUGGUGGGGUAGUGGCUUACCAAGGCUUUGCCGGGUAGCAGGCCUGAGAGGGUGACCGGCCACCUGGGGACUGAGAGACGGCCCAGACUCCUACGGGAGGCAGCAGUGGGGAAUAUUGCACAAUGGGCGGAAGCCUGAUGCAGCAACGCCGCGUGCGGGAUGACGGCCUUCGGGUUGUAAACCGCUUUCGCCUGUGACGAAGCGGGAGUGACGGUAAUGGGUAAAGAAGCACCGGCUAACUACGUG